RNAcentral lists this unclassified non-coding RNA (629 nucleotides) under Hevea brasiliensis (rubber tree). Lineage: Eukaryota; Viridiplantae; Streptophyta; Magnoliopsida; Malpighiales; Euphorbiaceae. The record is from RNAcentral.
AGGCCGGCCGCCAUGCCGGCGAGGUUCUGCUCCGCGACUCCGACAUUGAUGUAACGAUCUGGAUGGUGCGUGGCGAAUUGUUCGAGCACCGAAUAGCCGAGAUCNNNNNNNNNNNNGAUAUCAGGAUUGCGAUCGGCGAGUUCGGUCAGCGUCUUGAUGAAUGUGGUUCUCACAGCUUGAGCUCCGCGAGUGCCUGCUGGAGCUGCUCAUCGCUCGGCGACUUGUAGUGCCAUUCGAGCUUGUCUUCCAUGUAGCUCACGCCUUUGCCCUUGAUGGUAUGCGCGAUCACCACGGUGGGCUGUCCGAGCUUGGCGGGCUCGGCGAACGUGCGCGACAACGCGUCGACGUCGUGUCCAUCAACCUCGACAACGUUCCAGCGGAAGGCGCGCCACUUGUCGGCGAAAGGCUCGAGCUCCAGCACCUCCGAUACUCGGCCGAAGCUUUGUAUUUUGUUGAAGUCCACGAUCGCGACAAGAUUGUCGAGUUUGUGGUGUGGGGCGAACAGGAUUGCUUCCCAGUUCGAGCCUUCGUCGCUCGCCAUCGCUGAGAAGGCAGAACACGCGCGCACCGGACGCUUGCGCGCGCACGCCGAGGGCUAUGCCAACUGCGAUUGGCAGUCCAUGGCCCAG